UGUCCAGACUCCUACGGGAGGCAGCAGUGAGGAAUAUUGGUCAAUGGGCGGGAGCCUGAACCAGCCAAGCCGCGUGAAGGAAGAAGGCGCCAGGCGUCGUAAACUUCUUUUGUCGGGGAACAAAGGGCGCCACGUGUGGCGUUGUGAGUGUACCCGAAGAAAAAGCAUCGGCUAACUCCGUGCCAGCAGCCGCGGUAAUACGGAGGAUGCGAGCGUUAAUCGGAAUUACUGGGCGUAAAGCGCUCGUAGGCGGUAUGUCAAGUCAAGGGUGAAAUCCCCGCGCUCAACGUGGGAACUGCCUUUGAAACUGGCAAACUGGAGUGUGUGAGAGGAUAGUGGAAUUCCAGGUGUAGGAGUGAAAUCCGUAGAUAUCUGGAGGAACAUCAGUGGCGAAGGCGACUAUCUGGCACAUAACUGACGCUGAGGAGCGAAAGCGUGGGUAGCAAACAGGAUUAGAUACCCCGGUAG
Molecule: ribosomal RNA, 468 nt
Filed under: uncultured bacterium
Lineage: Bacteria
Description: bacterial SSU rRNA
Rfam family: Bacterial small subunit ribosomal RNA
Source: RNAcentral